Musa acuminata AAA Group (dessert banana) is the source of this 687-nucleotide long non-coding RNA. RefSeq lists it as uncharacterized. The record is from RefSeq and is a predicted model, not a curated record. The transcript is spliced from 2 exons. NCBI's taxonomy places the organism in Eukaryota, Viridiplantae, Streptophyta, Magnoliopsida, Zingiberales, Musaceae.
CAAUUGGCCACAUUCCAUGGCACCAAACUUUCUUGGUUCCCAGGUUUGACUAUAUAGUUCGGACCAGCAGUUGAAGUGGUAUCCAAUUAACUUCUCUUCUUCCCCUAUCGAUCCCUCCUGCCUCAACCAGCACACCAUGUCGUUGACGCCACUGCUUGUCAAGUCGCUGGUGAGGCUGGUGGGGCUGUUGGUGAGCCGGCCGGCGGUGUCGGUGACGACGAUACUCUACCACAGCGACGCGCUGCCGAGGAACCCCGGCCUGCAGCGGCUCGUCCGCGACGAGCUACUCGACGAUGAGAACUACCUGUUCCACUUCCUCAUCAGCAUGCUCAAAUGCUUCUGGUAGAUCGCGCGUGCAAUUCUUGACCACCACAUUCUUAUUACCUUUUCAUUACUACUGUUCAUCCGCAGCCAUUUUAAUCGGUAGCUUCUUCCUUAAUCCUCAUGGUGUUCAUCGACUCCCCAUCUCCAUCUCUCUCUCUCUCUCUCUCGAUUUCUGGUUGAAGAUAAACAAUGGGCGAUAGAUCUGAGUGCAGUACAUGAAAUUACAUGGGCAGACUUAAAAAUGAUGGUGGAAGAAACCAUUAAAUAUAGUGUCAGCCGAUGUGUUUCAUGUUGCAAGUGCAUGUGAUGAUGAUGUUGAUGAUACGGGACUAACAGUAAGUGCAGCUGAUGGAGCUUUUAUCU